RNAcentral lists this ribosomal RNA (253 nucleotides) under uncultured bacterium. Its description in RNAcentral is "partial 16S ribosomal RNA". It matches the Rfam family "Bacterial small subunit ribosomal RNA", at positions 524 to 776 of the family's 1533-position model. The record is from RNAcentral.
UACGGGGGGGGCAAGCGUUGUUCGGAAUUACUGGGCGUAAAGGGCGCGUAGGCGGUCCGCUAAGUUAGAUGUGAAAACUCUGGGCUCAACCCAGAGCCUGCAUCUAAUACUGACGGGCUAGAGUUCUGGAGGGGGUAGCGGAAUUCCUGGUGUAGCGGUGAAAUGCGUAGAUAUCAGGAAGAACACCCGUGGCGAAGGCGGCUCUCUGGGACGGUACUGACGCUGAGACGCGAAAGCGUGGGGAGCGAACAGG